RNAcentral lists this ribosomal RNA (492 nucleotides) under uncultured Eggerthella sp. RNAcentral's name for it is "partial 16S ribosomal RNA". Lineage: Bacteria; Bacillati; Actinomycetota; Coriobacteriia; Eggerthellales; Eggerthellaceae. The record is from RNAcentral.
CACGUAGUUAGCCGGAGCUUCUUCUGUGGGUACCGUCAUCGUCGUCCCCACUGAAAGCGGUUUACAACCCGAGGGCCGUCGUCCCGCACGCGGCAUUGCUGCGUCAGGGUUUCCCCCAUUGCGCAAAAUUCCCCACUGCUGCCUCCCGUAGGAGUCUGGGCCGUAUCUCAGUCCCAAUGUGGCCGGUCGACCUCUCAGUCCGGCUACCCAUCGCGGGCUAGGUGGGCCGUUACCCCGCCUACUACCUAAUGGGCCCGCGACCCCCAUCCCUUGCCGUCUGGGCUUUCCCGGCCCCCUCAUGCGGAGGGGCCGGAGUAUCCGGUAUAGCCGCCGUUUCCAGCGUUGUCCCGGAGCAAGGGGCAGGUUGGUCACGUGUUACUCACCCGUUCGCCACUCUAUCGUCCGCCCGAGGGCGGUUUAAUCGUUCGACUUGCAUGUGUUAAGCACGCCGCCAGUCGUUCAUCCUGACGCCGAGGUACUCCGAAAACUUCU